RNAcentral lists this ribosomal RNA (391 nucleotides) under Babesia gibsoni. Its description in RNAcentral is "SSU rRNA". It matches the Rfam family "Eukaryotic small subunit ribosomal RNA", at positions 449 to 896 of the family's 1831-position model. The record is from RNAcentral. Lineage: Eukaryota; Apicomplexa; Aconoidasida; Piroplasmida; Babesiidae.
UCCUGACACAGGGAGGUAGUGACAAGAAAUAACAAUACAGGGCAAUUGUCUUGUAAUUGGAAUGAUGGUGACGUAAAAUCUCACCAAAGUAACAAUUGGAGGGCAAGUCUGGUGCCAGCAGCCGCGGUAAUUCCAGCUCCAAUAGCGUAUAUUAAACUUGUUGCAGUUAAAAAGCUCGUAGUUGAAUUUCUGCGUUGCCCGACUCGGCUACUUGCCUUGUCUGGUUUCGCUUUUGGGGUUUUCCCCUUUUUACUUUGAGAAAAUUAGAGUGUUUCAAGCAGACUUGUGUCUUGAAUACUUCAGCAUGGAAUAAUAAAGUAGGACUUUGGUUCUAUUUUGUUGGUUUGUGAACCUUAGUAAUGGUUAAUAGGAACGGUUGGGGGCAUUCGUA